AGAUGCCGGCUGUGAGCAGGAGGAGAGUGAACUCUGCUCCAUUCGUGCAGUUGCGAAUGAGCCCCAGCAUCGCCAGCAGGGACCAGCAGCCGCGGUUCCACACCUGCCUGGGGCCCAAGAAGCCACCUGGCAUAAGCACGGGGAUGCCACUUGUGAGUGUGCAGUGAGUGCAGAUGUGGAGAAUGGAUUCUGCACCAGUGAUGGGAGUGUGAGAGAGCCCCUGGCUCCCCAGGGCAUAUCAGGAACCAAGAAUGAACACAAAAGGAACCGCAGAAGAUUCCUGGGUGAAUGGAUCAGGGGCCAUCCCGUGGGCACGGCAGUGCUGAUUCUGCUGCUCCUGGUGCUGGUGCUGGCUUUGGGGGUGGCCUUGGCUGUGCUGGCAGCGCCACAGGUUCCAGUCACACCUGCGACUCCUCUGUCCCUUCUGGGCUGUCCCCGUGGCUGGGUUGGCUACAAUGGGGUCUGCUACUACUUCUCAAGGGAUUACAGCACCUGGGAGCAGGGUCAGGAACGGUGCUCCGAGCUCGGGGCCUCCCUUGCCAU
Molecule: non-coding RNA, 543 nt
Organism: Agelaius phoeniceus (red-winged blackbird)
Lineage: Eukaryota; Metazoa; Chordata; Aves; Passeriformes; Icteridae
Source: RefSeq, a predicted model, not a curated record